Molecule: ribosomal RNA, 452 nt
Filed under: uncultured bacterium
Lineage: Bacteria
Description: bacterial SSU rRNA
Rfam family: Bacterial small subunit ribosomal RNA
Source: RNAcentral
ACACGUGAAGAACCUGCCUGGAAGUGGGGGACAACACCUCUAACGGGGUGCUAAUACCGCAUGUGCAUGUAAAACCGCAUGGUUUUGAAUGUAAAGGUGGCCUCUACUUGUAAGCUACCGCUUCCAGAUGGCUUUGCGUCCCAUUAGCUUGUUGGUGGGGUAAUGGCCUACCAAGGCGACGAUGGGUAGCUGGUCUGAGAGGAUGGUCAGCCACACUGGGACUGAGAUACGGCCCAGACUCCUACGGGAGGCAGCAGUCGAGAGGCUUCCGCAAUGGGGGAAACCCUGACGGAGCGACGCCGCGUGAGGGAUGAAGGAUUUCGGUUCGUAAACCUCUUUCAGGUGGGAAGAAAGGUUUGAGGGUGAAUAAUCUUCAGGCUGUGACGGUACCACCAGAAGAAGCUCCGGCUAACUCCGUGCCAGCAGCCGCGGUAAUACGGGGGGAGCAAGCC